AUGUAUAACAAUCCUCAGUCACUACACUGAUUGGUUCGAUGGAAGAAGCACGUUUGACGGAACCAAUCAGCAGCAAGAUGACUACAUCUACUCUUGAAUUGGGAGACGAGUUCUCUAAUUGUCUGUCGAAGCGAGCCAUCCAAUCUAAAUUUUCUGAACGGGAAUUUUAUAUCUUUCAGCAGCCGUUCAACUUGUGUGUGUAAAACCCCUCAUUUUCAACGAGGAUCGGCGAUUGAUUGGGGAAAAAGCAGAAGAUAUCACAAACUUAACAGAAAGAACCUAUGCGAAGAAUUGCUUUAGCUUGAACAUGGACAUGGAAAAGUACCUUGAUACGUUGUCACCAGGUUGCAAUCUGGUUUCAGCCGUCACUUAUGACACAUUCAACCCAAAUGUUGUUACGGGUUGAAUAAUGCUUGUUUAUCCUCCUCUCUGUAAUUGUCAGAUUCACACCAUAAGCUGGACUCCUAAUUACAAAAUGUGGUUCGAUUGGCUGGCGUACAAAAUUCCAACCGCUUGAAAAGGCAUCCUAUUGUAUUACGUAAAUACAAAGUAAUGAACUCUA
Molecule: long non-coding RNA, 562 nt
Organism: Daphnia carinata
Lineage: Eukaryota; Metazoa; Arthropoda; Branchiopoda; Diplostraca; Daphniidae
Exons: 2
Source: RefSeq, a predicted model, not a curated record